ACGGGAGGCAGCAGUGAGGAAUAUUGGUCAAUGGGCGGAAGCCUGAACCAGCCAAGUCGCGUGAAGGAAGAAGGUAUUAUGUAUUGUAAACUUCUUUAGCAGCAGAGAAAUAAGGUGGACGUGUCCACUGAUGCUAGUAUGCUGAGAAUAAGCAUCGGCUAACUCCGUGCCAGCAGCCGCGGUAAUACGGAGGAUGCGAGCGUUAUCCGGAUUUAUUGGGUUUAAAGGGUGCGCAGGCGGUCUUUUAAGUCAGUGGUCAAAUCGUGGUGCUCAACGCCAUCCCGCCAUUGAUACUGGGAGACUUGAUUGCGGUUGAGGUAGGCGGAAUUCGUCGUGUAGCGGUGAAAUGCAUAGAUAUGACGAAGAACACCGAUUGCGUAGGCAGCUUACCAAGCCGUAAAUGACGCUCAUGCACGAAAGUGCGGGGAUCGAACAGGAUUAGAUACCCUGGUA
Molecule: ribosomal RNA, 453 nt
Filed under: uncultured Porphyromonadaceae bacterium
Lineage: Bacteria; Pseudomonadati; Bacteroidota; Bacteroidia; Bacteroidales; Porphyromonadaceae
Description: partial 16S ribosomal RNA
Rfam family: Bacterial small subunit ribosomal RNA
Source: RNAcentral